GAUGAACGCUGGCGGCGUGCUUAACACAUGCAAGUCGAACGGAAAGGCCCAAGCUUGCUUGGGUACUCGAGUGGCGAACGGGUGAGUAACACGUGGGUGAUCUGCCCUGCACUUCGGGAUAAGCCUGGAAACUGGGUCUAAUACCGGAUAGGACCACUUCUUGGAUGUUGUGGUGGAAAGUUUUUUCGGUGUGGGAUGAGCUCGCGGCCUAUCAGCUUGUUGGUGGGGUAAUGGCCUACCAAGGCGUCGACGGGUAGCCGGCCUGAGAGGGUGUACGGCCACAUUGGGACUGAGAUACGGCCCAGACUCCUACGGGAGGCAGCAGUGGGGAAUAUUGCACAAUGGGCGCAAGCCUGAUGCAGCGACGCCGCGUGGGGGAUGACGGCCUUCGGGUUGUAAACUCCUUUCGCUAGGGACGAAGCGUUUUGUGACGGUACCUGGAGAAGAAGCACCGGCUAACUACGUG
This 466-nucleotide ribosomal RNA is filed under the name uncultured bacterium. Its description in RNAcentral is "partial 16S ribosomal RNA". It matches the Rfam family "Bacterial small subunit ribosomal RNA", at positions 28 to 507 of the family's 1533-position model. The record is from RNAcentral.